CAGGACGAACGCUGGCGGCGUGCCUAAUACAUGCAAGUCGAACGGCUUUUCUAUGGAAGCUUGCUUCCACUGAGAAGAUAGUGGCGAACGGGUGAGUAACACGUGGGGUAACCUGCCCAUAAGAGGGGGGAUAACAUCCGGAAACGGGUGCUAAUACCGCAUAGUUUUCUUGAUCGCAUGAUCGGGAAAGGAAAGACGGCCUUUGUGCUGUCGCUUAUGGAUGGACCCGCGGCGUAUUAGUUAGUUGGUGAGGUAACGGCUCACCAAGACGAUGAUACGUAGCCGACCUGAGAGGGUGAUCGGCCACAUUGGGACUGAGACACGGCCCAAACUCCUACGGGAGGCAGCAGUAGGGAAUCUUCCGCAAUGGACGAAAGUCUGACGGAGCAACGCCGCGUGAGUGAAAGAAGGUUUUCGGAUCGUAAAACUCUGUUGUCAGAGAAGAACAAGUUGGAGAGUAACUGCUCCAGCCUUGACGGUAUCUGACCAGAAAGCCACGGCUAACUACGUGCCAGCCGCGGC
Molecule: ribosomal RNA, 522 nt
Filed under: uncultured bacterium
Lineage: Bacteria
Description: bacterial SSU rRNA
Rfam family: Bacterial small subunit ribosomal RNA
Source: RNAcentral